ACACUUAAAUUGCAGGGGAGAUACCAUGGUUAUGAAGGUGAUUUUCUUGGGAUGAAGCUCAUCUGUUGCACUCUGGGUGUUCUGUCCCCUGCGAUUUCCUCAAAUGUGGAAACCUUGACUACAUAAUUUGUGGUAAUGGGGAAAUAUGCUCAUACUCUCCCUC
Peromyscus maniculatus bairdii (prairie deer mouse) is the source of this 163-nucleotide small nuclear RNA. Its record names the gene U1. It matches the Rfam family "U1 spliceosomal RNA". From Rfam's summary of the family: U1 is a small nuclear RNA (snRNA) component of the spliceosome (involved in pre-mRNA splicing). Its 5' end forms complementary base pairs with the 5' splice junction, thus defining the 5' donor site of an intron. Lineage: Eukaryota; Metazoa; Chordata; Mammalia; Rodentia; Cricetidae. The record is from Ensembl.